CCUACGGGUGGCAGCAGUGGGGAAUAUUGCGCAAUGGGCGAAAGCCUGACGCAGCGACGCCGCGUGAGGGAUGAAGGUCUUCGGAUCGUAAACCUCUGUCAGCAGGGAAGAACGGUCACUGUGCUAAUCAGCAGUGAAUUGACGGUACCUGCAAAGGAAGCACCGGCUAACUCCGUGCCAGCAGCCGCGGUAAUACGGAGGGUGCGAGCGUUAAUCGGAAUUACUGGGCGUAAAGCGCUCGUAGGCGGUAUGUCAAGUCAAGGGUGAAAUCCCCGCGCUCAACGUGGGAACUGCCUUUGAAACUGACAAACUGGAGUGGGUGAGAGGAUAGUGGAAUUCCAGGUGUAGGAGUGAAAGCCGUAGAUAUCUGGAGGAACAUCAGUGGCGAAGGCGACUAUCUGGCACAUAACUGACGCUGAGGAGCGAAAGCGUGGGUAGCAAACAGGAUUAGAUACCCUAGUAGUC
This 465-nucleotide ribosomal RNA is filed under the name uncultured bacterium. RNAcentral's name for it is "partial 16S ribosomal RNA". It matches the Rfam family "Bacterial small subunit ribosomal RNA", at positions 338 to 795 of the family's 1533-position model. The record is from RNAcentral.